RNAcentral lists this ribosomal RNA (492 nucleotides) under uncultured bacterium. Its description in RNAcentral is "partial 16S ribosomal RNA". It matches the Rfam family "Bacterial small subunit ribosomal RNA", at positions 29 to 507 of the family's 1533-position model. The record is from RNAcentral.
AGUGAACGCUGGCGGUAGGCCUAACACAUGCAAGUCGAACGGCAGCACAGUAAGAGCUUGCUCUUACGGGUGGCGAGUGGCGGACGGGUGAGGAAUACAUCGGAAUCUACUUUUUCGUGGGGGAUAACGUAGGGAAACUUACGCUAAUACCGCAUACGAACUACGGGUGAAAGCAGGGGAUCUUCGGACCUUGCGCGAGUGAAUGAGCCGAUGUAGGAUUAGCUAGUUGGCGUGGUAAAUGCCCACCAAGGCGACGAUCCGUAGCUGGUCUGAGAGGAUGAUUAGCCACACUAGAACUGAGACACGGUCCAGACUCCUACGGGAGGCAGCAGUGGGGAAUAUUGGACAAAGGGCGCAAGCCUGAGCCAGCCAUACCGCGUGGGUGAAGAAGGCCUUCUGGUUGUAAAGCCCUUUUGUUUGGAAAGAAAAGCAGCAGGUUAAUACCCCGCUGUUCUGACGGUACCCAAAGAAUAAGCACCGGCUAACUUCGUG